This 293-nucleotide ribosomal RNA is filed under the name uncultured bacterium. Its description in RNAcentral is "partial 16S ribosomal RNA". It matches the Rfam family "Bacterial small subunit ribosomal RNA", at positions 505 to 796 of the family's 1533-position model. The record is from RNAcentral.
GUGCCAGCAGCCGCGGUAAUACGUAGGGUGCGAGCGUUGUCCGGAAUUAUUGGGCGUAAAGAGCUCGUAGGCGGUGUGUCACGUCGAUCGUGAAAACUUUCAGCUUAACUGGGAGCUUGCGGUCGAUACGGGCAUCACUGGAGUUCGGCAGGGGAGACUGGAAUUCAAGGUGUAGCGGUGAAAUGCGCAGAUAUCUUGAGGAACACCGGUGGCGAAGGCGGGUCUCUGGGCCGAUACUGACGCUGAGGAGCGAAAGCGUGGGGAGCGAACAGGAUUAGAUACCCUCGUAGUCC